This 1569-nucleotide ribosomal RNA is filed under the name Triticum aestivum (bread wheat). RNAcentral describes it as "partial small subunit ribosomal RNA". The record is from RNAcentral. Lineage: Eukaryota; Viridiplantae; Streptophyta; Magnoliopsida; Poales; Poaceae.
AUGUCGGACUACGUCCCCUCCUCCACCCAGAUCCAGGCGCUGAGGCCUCGGUCCCUCCGCGGCGCGCUCUGCGUCACCCUCGCUCUGCCCGGGGCCCUGCUCGUCCGCUUCUCCAGGAGCCUGCUCGCCGCCGUCACGCUCACGUGGCUACCCAGGACCUACCUGCGCGUCCCGGUGGACGGGGCCGAUCAGGAGGCCAUUUCGCCCCGCCGCGUUCCGAGCCCCGUGGAGCUCGAUCCCGCGCAGGUGGCGGCGCUCACGGCCGCCCUUCGCCUCGCCAUCGUCGCCGGGGCCCUCUCGGUCCCCUCUCUCGCCCAGCGCCGGGCCGACGCGUCCGACUCCGACUCCAGCGACGACGACGACGAGGAGCGCGGCUGCUCUGAUGAUCAACACCUAUGGUAUCCACUCAUCCAGUCGCUGGGAGGAGGGGACGCCGGUCUGUUCGUCUCCGGCUCGGCUGCGUCUCUGGCUGAGCUGACUGGUGCGCCGGGAUUGUACAGACUGUCUGAUUUAAAUGAGAACCCAUUGAUCCUCACAGCAAGGGCAGAAAGCUUUUCAGGUCCUUGCGAGUUGACCGAUGAAACAACAAGGACUUGGGGCAUGAUGCUCAAAAUUACUACCAAACUUGUUUGUUUAAGUAAGCGGCAAUUACAUGAGCAGAAUCAGGAAUUAGCUGAAGAACGAUUUGCAGAGGUAGCCAAGCAAUCUUUAGAGCUGAUCCUUGAGGUUGCCUGUUCAUUCAGUGAUGCGGAAUGGUCUGAUGUCCACAUUUCGCAACAGCUGACUGUUUUUGACACACUUGUUGAUGUCCUAUUCAAUAUACAAUACUUGCCUUUCGGUGGAUCUGGUGAGGUUGCUGGCAUUGUUAAUAAGAUGGUGAAUUCUUUCAAAGGCGUAAUUCAGAGGACUUCAAAUGACAUCCGUAGCAGCAAGGAAUCUAUUAUUCAUCCAGCAACUUUUAUUCUCAUACAAGUCCUGGAAUUUUUUGGUCGUAACAGAGAGAUGGUCCAGUCAAUACUUGAAUCUGGAGAUUACAACACUGGCCCAUGCUCUGACAUGUUUGAUUGUUUGGUAUCUAAGCUCAAGGAAUGUGCAGAAGUAAUUUUCCAAGAAAAGGGACAAAGGUGCAUAUUCUUCUUGAAUAACACAAAUUAUGUUUUGCAAAAGAAUUGCCACUCAGGAUUACUCCCUCCCAGUGUAGCGAGUAAUCUAGUAUCACUGAUGGACCAGCACAUCGUGAGCUACCUUGAGGAAUAUUGGUUUCCACUUGUGAGGUAUUUGGAUGGUGAUUCUCUGAAGAAGCCACGCGGUUCUUCCUUGGAUAAAUUUACCAAAGAGUUCUUUACCAUCUGUGAUAGCCAGAUGACUUGGAAAGUUCAAACUAGCCUCAAGGAAAGACUGCGUGAACGGAUAGUGGAUUUGAUUGUUCCAAAAUAUGUAAACUUCUUGAAGGCUCUGCAGGAAAAUCCAAGUUCUUGGUUGAAGAGGGUGUGCCGAGCCAGGUCUGAGAAGCCGAUUUAUCCUGCUCCACAACUGGAAAAGGUGAUCAGGGGACUCUUUGAAAGAUAG